GGCUGGUAUAUUUGUAAAGAUAUAAAUAAUAAUAUUAUAUACAAUAUGAUUAUAUAUUUUUUAGCUUUUUCCAGAAACAACUGCAAAUUUGACACGAAAAAGCCCUGCUCAGACAACCAUUUUUUUUUAAAACAACCAUGUUUACUUAUAAUCAUAUUACAAUGAACAUUUUGCAAAUUUUAAUACCCUUCACAACACUCUUCAUGAGUUUACAAUUUAGAAAUUGUGUAACAAAAAAGGAUGUAUUUACAAUAGUACAUCUUUAAUAAAAACAACACAUCUUCAAACAACAACAUUAUAUCUGUAAACAACAACAAC
Molecule: long non-coding RNA, 318 nt
Filed under: Mytilus galloprovincialis (Mediterranean mussel)
Lineage: Eukaryota; Metazoa; Mollusca; Bivalvia; Mytilida; Mytilidae
Source: RNAcentral